GCGCUCAUUCCAGCAGCACAUAUAUAAAACUGGAACAAUAGAGACGAUUAGCCUGGCUCCCGCGCAGGGAUGACACACAAACUGUUAAGCAUUCCAUAUUUUU
This is a small nuclear RNA of Octodon degus (degu), 103 nucleotides long. NCBI's taxonomy places the organism in Eukaryota, Metazoa, Chordata, Mammalia, Rodentia, Octodontidae. The record is from Ensembl.